This 419-nucleotide ribosomal RNA is filed under the name uncultured bacterium. Its description in RNAcentral is "partial 16S ribosomal RNA". It matches the Rfam family "Bacterial small subunit ribosomal RNA", at positions 363 to 774 of the family's 1533-position model. The record is from RNAcentral.
CUUCCGCAAUGGACGAAAGUCUGACGGAGCGACGCCGCGUGAGCGAUGAAGGUCUUCGGAUUGUAAAGCUCUGUUGUUAGGGAAGAACAAGUACCGGAGUAACUGCCGGUACCUUGACGGUACCUAACCAGAAAGCCCCGGCUAACUACCUGCCAGCAGCCGCGGUAAUACGUAGGGGGCAAGCGUUGUCCGGAAUUAUUGGGCGUAAAGGGCAUGCAGGCGGUUAUCUAAGUCUGAUGUGAAAUCUUGUGGCUUAACCACAAGCGGUCAUUGGAAACUGGAUAACUUGAGUGCAGAAGAGGAGAGUGGAAUUCCACGUGUAGCGGUGAAAUGCGUAGAGAUGUGGAGGAACACCAGUGGCGAAGGCGGCUACCUGGACUGAUACUGACACUGAGGUGCGAAAGCGUGGGGAGCAAACA